This 216-nucleotide ribosomal RNA is filed under the name uncultured bacterium. RNAcentral describes it as "partial 16S ribosomal RNA". It matches the Rfam family "Bacterial small subunit ribosomal RNA", at positions 118 to 334 of the family's 1533-position model. The record is from RNAcentral.
UACGCAAUCUACCCUUUUCUGGGGCAUAGCCCGAAGAAAUUCGGAUUAACACCCCAUAGUAUACGAGAGUGGCAUCACUCAUGUAUUAAAAAUUUAUUGGAAGAGGAUGAGCGUGCGUCCCAUUAGCUAGUUGGUAGGGUAACGGCCUACCAAGGCGACGAUGGGUAGCUGAUGUGAGAGCAUGAUCAGCCACAAGGGCACUGAGACACGGGCCCG